RNAcentral lists this unclassified non-coding RNA (323 nucleotides) under uncultured fungus. RNAcentral's name for it is "partial contains small subunit ribosomal RNA, internal transcribed spacer 1, and 5.8S ribosomal RNA". The stretch from base 1 to 73 matches the Rfam family "Eukaryotic small subunit ribosomal RNA", at positions 1759 to 1831 of the family's 1831-position model. Lineage: Eukaryota; Fungi. The record is from RNAcentral.
ACAAACUUGGUCAUUUAGAGGAAGUAAAAGUCGUAACAAGGUUUCCGUAGGUGAACCUGCGGAAGGAUCAUUAACGAGUUAGGGUCUCACUGGCCCGACCUCCCAACCCUUUGUUUAUUGAACCUAUUGUUGCUUCGGCGGGCCCGCUUCCCCCUGGGAGGCCGCCGGAGGACCCGUCGAGAGACGGCCUCUGGCCCGCGCCCGUCGAUGGCCAACCUCCAAACUCGAAUCAACCGUGUCAUGUGUCUAAGUACCUAUUUGAAUUAAAACGCAAAACUUUCAACAACGGAUCUCUUGGUUCUGGCAUCGAUGAAGAACGCAGC